GGUUAAGCGAACAAGCGUACACGGUGGAUGCCCUGGCAGUCAGAGGCGAUGAAGGACGUGCUAAUCUGCGAAAAGCGCCGGUAAGGUGAUAUGAACCGUUAUAACCGGCGAUGUCCGAAUGGGGAAACCCGGUGCACUUCGGUGCAUCAUCGUUAGCUGAAUACAUAGGCUAACGAGGCGAACCGGGGGAACUGAAACAUCUAAGUACCCCGAGGAAAAGAAAUCAACCGAGAUUCCCCCAGUAGCGGCGAGCGAACGGGGAACAGCCCAGAGCCUGAAUCAGCUUGUGUGUCAGUGGAACGGUCUGGAAAGGCCGGCGAUACAGGGUGACAGCCCCGUACACGAAGGCACACAGGCUGUGAGCUCGAUGAGUAGGGCGGGACACGUGAUAUCCUGUCUGAAGAUGGGGGGACCAUCCUCCAAGGCUAAAUACUCCUGACUGACCGAUAGUGAACCAGUACCGUGAGGGAAAGGCGAAAAGAACCCCGGCGAGGGGAGUGAAACAGAACCUGAAACCGUGUACGUACAAGCAGUGGGAGCCUUCGUAAGAGGGUGACUGCGUACCUUUUGUAUAAUGGGUCAGCGACUUAUAUUCUGUAGCAAGGUUAACCGUAUAGGGGAGCCGAAGGGAAACCGAGUCUUAAUUGGGCGUUAAGUUGCAGGGUAUAGACCCGAAACCCGGUGAUCUAGCCAUGGGCAGGUUGAAGGUUGGGUAACACUAACUGGAGGACCGAACCGACUAAUGUUGAAAAAUUAGCGGAUGACCUGUGGCUGGGGGUGAAAGGCCAAUCAAACCGGGAGAUAGCUGGUUCUCCCCGAAAGCUAUUUAGGUAGCGCCUCGUGAACUCAUCUCCGGGGGUAGAGCACUGUUUCGGCUAGGGGGCCAUCCCGGCUUACCAACCCGAUGCAAACUGCGAAUACCGGAGAAUGUUAUCACGGGAGACACACGGCGGGUGCUAACGUCCGUCGUGAAGAGGGAAACAACCCAGACCGCCAGCUAAGGUCCCAAAGUCAUGGUUAAGUGGGAAACGAUGUGGGAAGGCCCAGACAGCCAGGAUGUUGGCUUAGAAGCAGCCAUCAUUUAAAGAAAGCGUAAUAGCUCACUGGUCGAGUCGGCCUGCGCGGAAGAUGUAACGGGGCUAAACCAUGCACCGAAGCUGCGGCAGCGACACUAUGUGUUGUUGGGUAGGGGAGCGUUCUGUAAGCCUGCGAAGGUGUGCUGUGAGGCAUGCUGGAGGUAUCAGAAGUGCGAAUGCUGACAUAAGUAACGAUAAAGCGGGUGAAAAGCCCGCUCGCCGGAAGACCAAGGGUUCCUGUCCAACGUUAAUCGGGGCAGGGUGAGUCGACCCCUAAGGCGAGGCCGAAAGGCGUAGUCGAUGGGAAACAGGUUAAUAUUCCUGUACUUGGUGUUACUGCGAAGGGGGGACGGAGAAGGCUAUGUCGGCCGGGCGACGGUUGUCCCGGUUUAAGCGUGUAGGCUGACUUUCCAGGCAAAUCCGGAAGGUUAAGGCUGAGGCGUGAUGACGAGGCACCACGGUGCUGAAGUGACAAAUGCCCUGCUUCCAGGAAAAGCCUCUAAGCAUCAGGUAACAUCAAAUCGUACCCCAAACCGACACAGGUGGUCAGGUAGAGAAUACCAAGGCGCUUGAGAGAACUCGGGUGAAGGAACUAGGCAAAAUGGUGCCGUAACUUCGGGAGAAGGCACGCUGACAUGUAGGUGAAGCCCCUGCGGGUGGAGCUGAAGUCAGUCGAAGAUACCAGCUGGCUGCAACUGUUUAUUAAAAACACAGCACUGUGCAAACACGAAAGUGGACGUAUACGGUGUGACGCCUGCCCGGUGCCGGAAGGUUAAUUGAUGGGGUUAUCGCAAGAGAAGCUCCUGAUCGAAGCCCCGGUAAACGGCGGCCGUAACUAUAACGGUCCUAAGGUAGCGAAAUUCCUUGUCGGGUAAGUUCCGACCUGCACGAAUGGCGUAAUGAUGGCCAGGCUGUCUCCACCCGAGACUCAGUGAAAUUGAACUCGCUGUGAAGAUGCAGUGUACCCGCGGCAAGACGGAAAGACCCCGUGAACCUUUACUACAGCUUGACACUGAACAUUGAGCCUUGAUGUGUAGGAUAGGUGGGAGGCUUUGAAGCGUGGACGCCAGUCUGCGUGGAGCCGACCUUGAAAUACCACCCUUUAAUGUUUGAUGUUCUAACCUGGCGCCGUAAUCCGGCGUGGGGACAGUGUCUGGUGGGUAGUUUGACUGGGGCGGUCUCCUCCCAAAGUGUAACGGAGGAGCACGAAGGUCAGCUAAUCCUGGUCGGACAUCAGGAGGUUAGUGCAAUGGCAUAAGCUGGCUUGACUGCGAGAGUGACGGCUCGAGCAGGUGCGAAAGCAGGUCAUAGUGAUCCGGUGGUUCUGUAUGGAAGGGCCAUCGCUCAACGGAUAAAAGGUACUCCGGGGAUAACAGGCUGAUACCGCCCAAGAGUUCAUAUCGACGGCGGUGUUUGGCACCUCGAUGUCGGCUCAUCACAUCCUGGGGCUGAAGUAGGUCCCAAGGGUAUGGCUGUUCGCCAUUUAAAGUGGUACGCGAGCUGGGUUUAGAACGUCGUGAGACAGUUCGGUCCCUAUCUGCCGUGGGCGCUGGAGAAUUGAGGGGGGCUGCUCCCAGUACGAGAGGACCGGAGUGGACGCAUCACUGGUGUUCGGGUUGUCAUGCCAAUGGCACUGCCCGGUAGCUAAAUGCGGAAGAGAUAAGUGCUGAAAGCAUCUAAGCACGAAACUUGCCCCGAGAUGAGUUCUCCCUGAGACUUUAAGUCUCCUGAAGGAACGUUGAAGACGACGACGUUGAUAGGCCGGGUGUGUAAGCGCAGCGAUGCGUUGAGCUAACCGGUACUAAUGAACCGUGAGGCUUAACCUU
Molecule: ribosomal RNA, 2902 nt
Filed under: Cronobacter sakazakii
Lineage: Bacteria; Pseudomonadati; Pseudomonadota; Gammaproteobacteria; Enterobacterales; Enterobacteriaceae
Description: 23S ribosomal RNA
Rfam family: Bacterial large subunit ribosomal RNA
Source: RNAcentral